GACGAACGCUGGCGGCGUGCCUAAUACAUGCAAGUAGAACGCUGAAGAGAGGAGCUUGCUCUUCUUGGAUGAGUUGCGAACGGGUGAGUAACGCGUAGGUAACCUGCCUUGUAGCGGGGGAUAACUAUUGGAAACGAUAGCUAAUACCGCAUAACAAUGGAUGACACAUGUCAUUUAUUUGAAAGGGGCAAUUGCUCCACUACAAGAUGGACCUGCGUUGUAUUAGCUAGUAGGUGAGGUAAUGGCUCACCUAGGCGACGAUACAUAGCCGACCUGAGAGGGUGAUCAGCCACACUGGGACUGAGACACGGCCCAGACUCCUACGGGAGGCAGCAGUAGGGAAUCUUCGGCAAUGGGGGCAACCCUGACCGAGCAACGCCGCGUGAGUGAAGAAGGUUUUCGGAUCGUAAAGCUCUGUUGUAAGUCAAGAACGGGUGUGAGAGUGGAAAGUUCACACUGUGACGGUAGCUUACCAGAAAGGGACGGCUAACUACGUGCCAGCAGCCGCGGUAAUACGUAGGUCCCGAGCGUUGUCCGGAUUUAUUGGGCGUAAAGCGAGCGCAGGCGGUUUGAUAAGUCUGAAGUUAAAGGCUGUGGCUCAACCAUAGUUCGCUUUGGAAACUGUCAAACUUGAGUGCAGAAGGGGAGAGUGGAAUUCCAUGUGUAGCGGUGAAAUGCGUAGAUAUAUGGAGGAACACCGGUGGCGAAAGCGGCUCUCUGGUCUGUAACUGACGCUGAGGCUCGAAAGCGUGGGGAGCGAACAGGAUUAGAUACCCUGGUAGUCCACGCCGUAAACGAUGAGUGCUAGGUGUUGGAUCCUUUCCGGGAUUCAGUGCCGCAGCUAACGCAUUAAGCACUCCGCCUGGGGAGUACGACCGCAAGGUUGAAACUCAAAGGAAUUGACGGGGGCCCGCACAAGCGGUGGAGCAUGUGGUUUAAUUCGAAGCAACGCGAAGAACCUUACCAGGUCUUGACAUCCCGAUGCUAUUUCUAGAGAUAGAAAGUUACUUCGGUACAUCGGUGACAGGUGGUGCAUGGUUGUCGUCAGCUCGUGUCGUGAGAUGUUGGGUUAAGUCCCGCAACGAGCGCAACCCCUAUUGUUAGUUGCCAUCAUUCAGUUGGGCACUCUAGCGAGACUGCCGGUAAUAAACCGGAGGAAGGUGGGGAUGACGUCAAAUCAUCAUGCCCCUUAUGACCUGGGCUACACACGUGCUACAAUGGUUGGUACAACGAGUUGCGAGUCGGUGACGGCGAGCUAAUCUCUUAAAGCCAAUCUCAGUUCGGAUUGUAGGCUGCAACUCGCCUACAUGAAGUCGGAAUCGCUAGUAAUCGCGGAUCAGCACGCCGCGGUGAAUACGUUCCCGGGCCU
RNAcentral lists this ribosomal RNA (1369 nucleotides) under uncultured bacterium. Its description in RNAcentral is "bacterial SSU rRNA". It matches the Rfam family "Bacterial small subunit ribosomal RNA", at positions 28 to 1381 of the family's 1533-position model. The record is from RNAcentral.